CCAAUGAAGGGCCAUGGAGGGGCGGAGGAAGGGCUCCUCCCUUCGGUUCCCUUGUUUCAUUCGAAACAAGGGUGUCGGUGAAUGAGUUUUGGGCUGGUUUCUAGGCAAAGCCUUGGCCUGGGCCCAAGUUAGAUCCCGACAUGGAUCUGAUCUUGACUUGGUAUAGCCCCAACAAAUUUGUGCCCUAGAUCUAAUCUCUCCAUCCUCUUCUUUUCUUUCCGGUGGACAAUGGAAGUGUGGUAGGUGGCGAACGACCCCUCCCUCUCUCUCGGUUCCUCUCUCUUCAUGGAGCACUGGAGGUUAAGGAGGGUGAUAGGUUUCUUUUUGGGAUCCUAAUUUAAGUUUGAUUGACAAUAGAGAUUUAGUUUAAGAGUCCAAGUUCAUUCGGGAUUGGCUACCUCGUAUUUCCUCUUUUGCUUUUUCUUAUGUUUGCAAGACAGUUAUGAAUCUAUAAAUAUGUAGUGCCUUAAGGGCCUUCUAGACAAAAAUCAAUUUAAUAAAAUAAGCUUAAAGGCUUUUGGAGGUGCCAAU
This 531-nucleotide long non-coding RNA is filed under the name Phoenix dactylifera (date palm). Its description in RNAcentral is "long non-coding RNA (PDAC_LNC020519)". Lineage: Eukaryota; Viridiplantae; Streptophyta; Magnoliopsida; Arecales; Arecaceae. The record is from RNAcentral.